UUUUGCAUGUGAUCUACUCUCGUUUUGUUGUCUUGGCUGUCUCCAUUCUUACGUCUUCAGGGUUAUGGAUGCUUUGAUCCGUGAUGACUGUUUUGGCGUUUUCUCUGUUGGCGGUUUAUCAGGGCUUCUUAUCUUUUUUCUUUCUUAUCUUAAGAGAAACAUGUUUUUUUCGUUUUGGUAUAGAACAUGGAGAAGCAAUCGGGAUGUGUCUCUGAUCAAAUCUUAUUUCCUCGUUUUAGGUUCCUCUGUUUCCUCGUUCUAUAUUUUAUUUCCAUGAAUUACUCUCAUCUUUCUCGGUAUUUAUGAAAGGAUGAUCUGUUUUCUUACCGUUGUAUUUGUGGUUUCUGUGUUACUCGACUUUGGUUUCCAUCUUAGAUCGUGAAGAAUCGACGAGAAAGGAUUCAAUUCCCUUUGUGGAUGGAAAUGAUGGUUUGCGCAUGAUUUCGAUUCCUUGGUUAUACCCUUUUUGCCUACGGACUAUUUUUGUCAGAGUAUUUGUUAUUGUGGAGAGGUAUUGUGUCUUCUGUGUGUUUCCAGAUCUGCUUAACCAAUCAAUUCACUCUGUUCCUCGGCGGUGUACAGACGUUCAGAUGAAAGAUGAAUCAUGACAGAAAACUCGGUUUGAUCUUAUUUUUGCUGUUUUCAAGAUGAAGUACUUCACAAUUCACUCUGUCGCAUGAAGUAGUUUUAAGUUUGUCAAGUGUAAGGAGGUCCUAUGAUGCAGAAAACUCUCUUGUCUUUUUGUUGUAGAUGGUUGAGGUUUCAAAAGAGAAAAUCAGCAGGCUACUACUUGGACUCUUUCAUGGUUUAUCUGCUUUGGUUUGUUUCUCACGCUACAUAUAGUCAGUUUAUGUGCUUCUCUUCUUUGCUCUCUUUUGGCCUUUUUGAUUUUUCAGUCUGCAUCUAUUCUAUGGCUUGAAUGCAAAUCACUUCUCCCCCGAGAUGGUAGCCUCUCUUUCUCUUUGAAUUCUGUUUAUUAGUAGUAUAGGAGGAGUUUGGAUGAUUCUGUUUCGACCUGUUGUUUAUAGUCCCCUGUAUCAGUAGUUUCAAACUUCAACAUGGUUGUCUCAUCAAGGAUGAAUUUGGAGCUUCCAGUAUUUGAUGGAUUCAGGUGUCACUAUAGAUUGUUGCGUGUGCAAGUGAAGUUGAUCUCCGAGCUCUUCAAUGGUUGCCUCGAGGAGCAGUUGUCAGUUGAGGGUUAUGCGCUAUCUCUGCUUUUUUAUUUAUUUAAUGCAUGACUACUUCUCUCCCCGGGUUAAUUUGAUAUUUGUCAGCAUGUUCUGGGCUUGGUCUAUUUUCUACAGCAACCAACCAUAAGGUAACGUUGAAGUUUUCUUAUGAGUUUUGCUCCUCCUCCUCUAUAUGGAAACGUUUUGUUUUGGACAAUGAUCUUUUUAUAGUCUCUGGUGAUAAGUCGGCCGCGGGUGGAUAAAGCUCAGAUAUCUUGGCUCUUGAUCCUGUAUGUUCUCUUUUUUUUUUAAAUGUAGCUACCAUGCUUGUUCUUGUGUUUUUUUUCUUUUAGAUUGUGUUCUUUGUCCUUAGUGUUCCCAGAUUUUCAGUUCAUCAACCAGUUCCUCCUCGUUGUACACCCAUUCAAGUUGAAAGAUGAUCAACAGAUGGGUUUGCUCUUUUUUUUUUGUCCGGUCCUGGUUUGAUUUGUCCUGUAGAGAAAGCUUUUGUAUUGAUUGAUCUUCAACUAUUCCAUCGAUCCUUUCCAGCGUCAUCCGUGUUUUCGAUUGUAGAGCUUUGAAGAGAAAGCAGCACUUGUCAGGGAAGGAUGGUUCUCUUAUAAUCAGGUUUCUGGUUAUUUCGGUUCUAUACAUCACAUUGCCUACAUAUUUUUUUUUCCUCAACAGCUUUUGUGGGGAAUAUAUCAUUUCUCUUUUGUUUGUUUCCAGAAUCUCUGCGGAGGAUGAUUAUUUGUAAAUGGGUUUGUUCUUAUUAUUAGUCCUUUAUGGCUCCUUUUUUCUAAUACUGUGUACGGUGGUUAUUGAUUGUAAUAAACUAUUAUACCGGCUUUUUACAGUAGCAGACGUAUCGCAUCUUACGGAUCUCUUACCUUACUGAAGUAAGCUCUGGACUUUCUAGACCACAAGUUUAUAAUUCUAUAAUCUUUCUUCUAGAUAGGAGUUCUGUUAUGGUGUGUCUGUGUCAGGAAAACUCUCAAGACUUUUGAAGGGUCGUUUUAGUACACUGUUAAGUCUGAGCUCCUCUAAUGAAGAAGGCUCAAGAUGGUUUGUCAAUGGUCUUCUCUUCUCCAGUCGUCUUUGUUAACUCUUUGAUGGUUUCUUCUCCUCUCUGUUUUGGCUCCUUUCUGAUAUUUUCUUUACUGCAUCUCUUCAAUGAUAUUAGUACGUCUGUUUGAGAUGAUGGCUUCUCUUUCCUAUGAACUAAUUUUUUGAAUAGGAAUUUAGAUGGUGCAAGGGGAAGGUCUUAUUUUACUUGCUGGUGGAACUCAUUAUGGAGUAAUUGAACGGAAAGUAAAUUAAUGUUGUCCAGGAACUUUGGAUUGUUACCCUCCCUGUUGGUUUGUGUUUACUAUUAUUGUUUGCUGGGCAGUAAGCUUCAGGUGCCUUCUUCCUCGUUUUUUUGGGAGGCUUCAUUGAUAUUUGGGAACACGCUAACGUUGCUUCGGUGAGACAAGUUGAGUCCGGUGAUUGGUUGACUUCGAGGGAAGAAAGCUUCGGUUUCCUCUGCAAGAAGUCGUAUUUAGUCUGUCGGUUUUCUCGGCCAUGUUCCCUUGUUUCCUAUUUUGCUAGGCUACUUAUCUUGGGGGUUGAUAGUUGAUAUUGGUAACACUUGUUUUGCUGCUCUCUGAAGGUUAAUAAAUAUCUGCUAAAGGAAGGUUUUGAGGAUGCAAUACAAUGUAUUUCAGUUUUUUUGCUCCAGGGAGUCAAGGUAACGUUGAAGUUCUUCCGAGUCCUAUUCGUCGUUUUUUUGUUAUGGAAACGUUUUGCUUUGGACAAAAUCUUCUACAGUUCAGUAGUCUGGUGUUUUGUUGGCUUUGAGGGAAGUAACCUAUGGUUUCACAAGAGUGUCUCUGGUUAGUUAAUUUUGUUGGCUGGCCUUCACGGGAAGUAAGCUUAGCUUCUUCGGGUUUGUCAGUCCCCAUCCUCUCUUUCCUUGUCCUGAUUUUUUGAAUUCUCGAGUUACACGUUAUUUGGCUCACGGAAGGGUAAUGUAGUAAUGUGUAUUUGCUAUAGAUUUGGAGGAUGGAAUAUCAUGGAUAUUUGAGAUUUGCUCUUUCCUUGAGAUAGUGACAAGUCUUCGGUGAUUUGAUAUGGCUGGGAUGGAUGAAGCUCAAAUACGGUGGCGUUUGCUUCUGUAUAUGUUGACUACUCUGAAGGUGUUUACCAAGAAGCUGGUGCCUUUUUUGUCUUCCUCUAGGUUUGCAGUAAUAUCACGUAGUCAGUAUCAUCUUAGUACAUCUGUUUUGUAUUUGGUUUUGUGGAAGAGUUUCGCUCUCGACAUGAUGCUCUUUUCUUGUGCACUACUACUGCAUGGUUUCAUCAUUUGCCUCGUUUUUUUCUGGUUUGAUGGAUGGUAACACAGGGCAUAUGAAUCUCGCCUUUGUCAGAAUAUGGUCGGAAGUGUGUCCUAGCGACUGUGAGGGUACGGUGUGCCACUCAUGUACUUGUGCAGAUUUUCUUUACACGGCGCUUUGUUUCAACAGUGUGCCGCUAGACCUUUUUUUGGUGUCUUCCAGUCGCAGAGCUUUGCCCACCAGACCCGAGAUUGUAGCUCUAAUGGAGAAGUGUGGGGGUAUGGGUUUAUGAUGACAUGCUCCAAGAUAUCAAAACACGUUUUCUCCUCCAAUAUGCAAUACCAGCGAUUGAGAGAGAGCAGAACAAGGAAGGAUGUUCGAUGGUCUUCACUACCUCCCAUAGCUUCACCAGGAUGCUUAUCAUCUGAAAUCGUUACGGCUUCGGUUUUGUACUAGCUUUCUAGUUGAGCUCAACAGAAACAGUUUGGAAAGGAAGGCAGCAAGAGGCCUUGGAAACUUACGUAGCCUAAACCUCACAAGCUGAAAGCGCCCAACCCAGUUUCCAGACCUUCUGAAGGCGACUAAUCUUGAGGCUGUUAAACCCUCCAGUUGUUUUAACUGGGAAGUAUGACAGAACAUAGACGAAGCUGCAAUACAAGUUAAAAGGCUUCAAGACAAGAAACAGGAGGACUUUGGACCUUCGGUGUUACCGCUACUGGCUAGAUCUCUUUUUCUAUACUACUGUAAAUAUAUGGUCUAUGUUGAUGUAUCAAUUAUUCAGUCAUUAAAGCCUACUUUUGGGCCAACUGGUAUAUUCAGCUAUUCAUUGAAAUGCCUAUAAAAAAAAUUAAAAACGACCA
Brassica napus (rape) is the source of this 4344-nucleotide long non-coding RNA. RefSeq lists it as uncharacterized. The record is from RefSeq and is a predicted model, not a curated record. The transcript has 5 exons. NCBI's taxonomy places the organism in Eukaryota, Viridiplantae, Streptophyta, Magnoliopsida, Brassicales, Brassicaceae.